This 2567-nucleotide long non-coding RNA is filed under the name Bemisia tabaci. Its description in RNAcentral is "lncRNA ENSSSA3NGG006841". The record is from RNAcentral. Lineage: Eukaryota; Metazoa; Arthropoda; Insecta; Hemiptera; Aleyrodidae.
GCGUGCGGGAGGUGUCGUUUUCAGCGGACAUGCGGAACGCGGUGGGGAAAGAAGCGGAUACUCGGAGCCUUUCAGCAGCGGAGCAGAUGGCGAUCGGGAUCUUCUGUCUGUCCAUUGGGUUCAUCUACGUGGCGGCCAUCUACUUCUACCUGCGGAAGCGGCACAGAAUCAAGCACGGCUGCUUCAAAGGCGACACCGAGAGCGUGGACGGAAACACCCGCGACUCGCUCAUCAUCCCGGAUGAAGGUGUCGUCAAGAACAACCCCCUGCUCCAGCACUGCCCGGAAGGGCAGGACAACGAGGGCUUCCUCUCCGAGUCCGGUGGCAGCUGCUGCUCCGACACCGAGCGCUCAGAGAACUGCCUCGAUGACAAGAUGCAGCGGACCUGGGCGAUGGUCCACCCACGGCGGCACGGAGGAGGGGGCGGGGGCGGGAAUGAAGGGCAGGGGCAUGGGCACGGGCAGGGGGGCGAGGGAUCGGAGGAGGGGAUCUACAACAUGGAGCCCCUGCAGUUAUCUGAUCAGAACACAAUAGAGCGGCUGCCGGAAGAGAACGUGUCCAUCGUGGAAACGCUGGAGCAGCGCGAGGACCGGCCCGAAACUGUCAAAGCCAUGACCUGCGCCAACGCCCGCAAAAAGCUCUACUUCAACCCAGCCUAUUUCGAGCCCGAGCUUCUUUUAGCCCCACCACCAGCUGCGAUCGAAUUUUUAACUAAAAUUCGAGAAGUAAUAGCGAUUGCAAAGCACAAGAUGGCUGCCAAAAAAUUCACCCCGAACCUAAUCGGGAUCCCAGAGGAGGACUACGGAAACCCGUUGCGACCCACGAGCAGAAUGUCGAGCGUCCGGAGCAGCCGCCACGGUGGCGCUUCCUACAGACACGAACGAAGCCGCCCGAGCAGCCUGAUCAAAGAAGAGCACGGUAGAGCUGGCAGGAGCAGUAUCAUCAGCUGCGAGGAUUGUCCCGACUGCCAACGAGAACUGCAACAGCAAGAAAACGUCUGCCGUCACUGCUACAACAACAACCACCACCAGGCCGAGACCAAACAAAAGAGCAUACGCAAAUGGCUUCAAGACGUACCCCUCCAGCCCAAGUGUCCUCUGAGUGACUCAGAAUCUGUUGCGUCUUCCAAAUGCAGCCGCCGAAGCUGCCACAAUAGAGCCAUAGCCAAAAGACACGGUUUGGAUGACCACCACUUCAGCUCGCGAUUGAUGCCCAGUGGAACUGCCAUAAAAUUCAUCGAGAACGAAUUUAACGACCAGUCCAGUAUCAUGAGUGGUAGGUCGGGUAACAGCGGGAAGAGUGGCCGAAGCGGCCGCAGUGCCCGUAGUGGGAAGAGCGCUCAAAGCGCCACCAGCUAUAGGAGCGGCCGGUCCUGUCGGUCAAACCUCAGUAGGAAGUCCAUUGCGUUUUCCAACCUACCAUACGUGAACCAGCAGAACGAAAUUAACCGAAUGAAAACGAUCCAGGAAGACCUUAUGUCCACUGUAGAGUCGGAGGGUAGGAAGAAUGGUAGUAACGCAGCAAGCAGACCGAAAAUGAAGCCUCCACCUUGUCCUCCGCCUCCUCCACCCCCACCCUCCAUGUGUAGUGGAGAUACCGGGGUGGUAGACACAGAAUCCCUUGCUGAGUCAUCGGUGAGCAAAGAGAACUUCAAAGUACCGAAAGUAGCCAAGAAACUGAUGGACGCUGUCAUCAAAGAGUUCGUUGGUGUGCGAGGCUUGAACGACACGGAUCCGAGGGAGGAGCAACCGUCACCAGCCGAGGAGGAGUUCAGAGCUGAACCCGUGGUAAACCCACCGCCCCAUCGAUCUAAAAUCUCAGAGACGAGGUCACCACUACCUAUGAAGAAGAACGGAGAGUCGAAACUCAACAGUAAGAUGAUAGUGCACCAACACAACCCAGCAUUGAAUGCAACCGACAUCGAAAAGGAUGACAAUAGUGCUCCUGCGCCGGUUGCAGAAACCGAAAAAACAAAGGUAGGAGUUGCUGUGGAAAACACGAGCAAACCCAUUCCUCCACUACGGUUGGAUUCACUGAAGAGCAGAGACGAGGGCCGGUUGUCGGACUUUGAAACGGAUAGUUUAGACAAGUCCAUCUACGACCUCAACGGAGACGAUAGAGGCAUAAGGACUCCCUCCGAUUACGGUGACGUUCUGAUCAAGAGAACUGAGCUGAACAACGGGUUGAUCCACUGCUCUCGCCUACCUAUGGACGAAGAGGUGGAAAUGAGGAACGACAUUCUGAAUAUGACGACGGGCAAUAAAACGAUAUCAAAAAUGGCGCGGAGUCCACGACCACCGUUGAUCGAAGACCACGAAUACGAGAUUAUAUCGAUGGCUCAGAACGAGAUUCAGACUGGUCGACCCAUGAGUAAGAACGAUAUAUUAGCAGAUCACACCGAACCAGAGGGGUACAGUCUGGUGAGCGAGGUAUACAUUAACGACACUUUUGGUUCCGGCUCCACGAGCAACUCCUCGAGCCUCACUAGUAACCAGACAAAUCCACCGGAGCCUCCCAUGGCAAGGACGCCAAGAUCCACUAUAAACAGCAGCCGGGGCAUCUUAUGA